RNAcentral lists this unclassified non-coding RNA (284 nucleotides) under Hevea brasiliensis (rubber tree). Lineage: Eukaryota; Viridiplantae; Streptophyta; Magnoliopsida; Malpighiales; Euphorbiaceae. The record is from RNAcentral.
AAAUCCCUUGACAGUUGUGGGGCUGAGGAGCUAAUUAAGAAUUACUUUAACAAUAAAGCUGCUGAUUCUGGAAUUUAUGAAUCUUGUCAGAGAUACAUUUUAUGCAACUGUUUGCUUGAGAAGGACUCUCAGUUCAGUGAAAGCAAGGUAGCUGUAACCUUGAGCAGUGAGCAUAAGUUACAUUUGCUACUCCUUGAAAACUCAUGUGAUGGGUCAGGUUCAAGAUUAAAAUUGGUUGGCUGUCAUGGUACACAACAGACUAGAGAGAUUUUUGUGGGUUUGGG